RNAcentral lists this ribosomal RNA (231 nucleotides) under uncultured bacterium. Its description in RNAcentral is "partial 16S ribosomal RNA". It matches the Rfam family "Bacterial small subunit ribosomal RNA", at positions 284 to 525 of the family's 1533-position model. The record is from RNAcentral.
UCGCCCGCCGCGCGCGGCGGGCGGGGCGGGGGCACGGGGGGCCUACGGGAGGCAGCAGUGAGGAAUAUUGGUCAAUGGGCGAAAGCCUGAACCAGCCAAGUAUCGUGCAGGAUGACGGCCCUAUGGGUUGUAAACUGCUUUUAUACAGGAAUAAAGUUAGCCACGUGUGGUUAUUUGUAGGUACUGUAUGAAUAAGGACCGGCUAAUUCCGUGCCAGCAGCCGCGGUAAUA